AUUUUCUACCCUCUUCAUCAGUUCUAACAUUUUACGUUGGCGCUGUGGGACGUUUAUGUAGUUAGCAAACCAAAGAAAGUUUUAUCAAAUGUUUAAGCAAUGUCUUUCUAGCUAUGCAAAUAGAGUUAACUUCUAAUCUCAAAUAAUUUAAAAAAUAAAAUAAAUAAUAAUGUCUUUGAAAGAGAGAUCCAACAUGCCUGAGCCCCGUAAGGUGGUAUCAUACUUUUUCUAUUUCAGUUUAGAGAUCAAUAAUUCUCGUUUGGACAAUUGAAAUUUUGACAGGCACAACAUAAUAUUGAAGAGGUUAUGCAAGAAAACUUUCACGUUUUUCCUUUUAGUAAUUUGUGCAACUCACAGUUGUACGUGAGACUAGUAUAUAUUACAUGGAGGGAAUAAUAAGAUAAAGAUAGGAGUAAGGAUAAUACAUUUUUGAGUGCUCCCGUCACGUCACCUGGAAUAUGUGACGGACCACUCUUAUUGGUCCCAACUUAGCAAAAGACAAACCGUUUCGAGAGCUUCUCUUUCUAAGUUUAGAGAGAGAAAAUAGAUCUGAAAAACCACCCCUCACUCCCUUUUAUCUCUUGCCCAGAUCAUGAUCCCUCCGGAUCUAGAUCGAUGGCUUGAGAUUUGGGGGCUUGCUUGCUCUCAAUUCAUCUCUCUUGAUUCUCUCAAACCCUCUGUGGUGGCUUUACACCAUUUCUGUGGUGAUUUACUGACUUAUGUUUAGAUUUAGAGGACUCAUGUCCUCCUUUCCUUGCCAACUAUCCCAAAAAAACAAAAUUUAAAUCCGGAAACCUCUAUGAUUCCCCUAACCCAUUACCUCACAUCAACUCCCCUUCAUCUACCAAAGACCUGCUCCUUGAAGAUUCUCAUGGCUACCACUUAAAAGUGAGAAACUCUUACCUAGAGGAUUAUGGGUGCUCAUGCAUGGGUGUUUCACCCCCUAUUCACCAUUAGAUUUUUUCUUUGCUAUUGGCUUCUAUCCCAUUUCGAUGGCUUCGGUUCCUUCCCGGAUUUAGUCUCUUUGGUGGAGAAGAGAAGAGAAAGUUAGUGUGACAGCGGCGGCUGUGCGAAUGGGUUGGGCGGCGGCUGUUGUAUUCUAGGAGAUGAUGUAUUAAUUAAGUUUUAGGAUUAUACUCUUUUGCCCUAUCCAUAUGGAUUUGGGUUGAGUUGUAAUUUUCCUUGUCUGGUUAAUUGUAUUUGGGCUCUUCCCAUUGGGUUGAUACCCUUUGGUUAUUUUUUUUU
Rosa rugosa (rugosa rose) is the source of this 1245-nucleotide long non-coding RNA. RefSeq lists it as uncharacterized. The record is from RefSeq and is a predicted model, not a curated record. The transcript has 2 exons. NCBI's taxonomy places the organism in Eukaryota, Viridiplantae, Streptophyta, Magnoliopsida, Rosales, Rosaceae.